RNAcentral lists this transfer RNA (73 nucleotides) under Rhodanobacteraceae bacterium. RNAcentral's name for it is "tRNA-Thr". It matches the Rfam family "tRNA". Rfam says of the family: Transfer RNA (tRNA) molecules are approximately 80 nucleotides in length. Their secondary structure includes four short double-helical elements and three loops (D, anti-codon, and T loops). Lineage: Bacteria; Pseudomonadati; Pseudomonadota; Gammaproteobacteria; Lysobacterales; Rhodanobacteraceae. The record is from RNAcentral.
GCCGGAAUAGCUCAGUUGGUAGAGCAACGCAUUCGUAAUGCGUGGGUCGGGGGUUCGACUCCCUCUUCCGGCA